UAGGGAAUCUUCGGCAACGGACGGAAGUCUGACCGAGCAACGCCGCGUGAGUGAAGAAGGUUUUCGGAUCGUAAAGCUCUGUUGUAAGAGAAGAACGAGUGUGAGAGUGGAAAGUUCACACUGUGACGGUAUCUUACCAGAAAGGGACGGCUAACUACGUGCCAGCAGCCGCGGUAAUACGUAGGUCCCGAGCGUUGUCCGGAUUUAUUGGACGUAAAGCGAGCGCAGGCGGUUAGAUAAGUCUGAAGUUAAAGGCUGUGGCUUAACCAUAGUACGCUUUGGAAACUGUUUAACUUGAGUGCAAGAGGGGAGAGUGGAAUUCCAUGUGUAGCGGUGAAAUGCGUAGAUAUAUGGAGGAACACCGGUGGCGAAAGCGGCUCUCUGGCUUGUAACUGACGCUGAGGCUCGAAAGCGUGGGGAGCAAACAGGAUUAGAUACCCUGGUAGUCCACGCCGUAAACGAUGAGUGCUAGGUGUUAGACCCUUUCCGGGGUUUAGUGCCGUAGCUAACGCAUUAAGCACUCCGCCUGGGGAGUACGACCGCAAGGUUG
RNAcentral lists this ribosomal RNA (550 nucleotides) under uncultured bacterium. RNAcentral's name for it is "bacterial SSU rRNA". It matches the Rfam family "Bacterial small subunit ribosomal RNA", at positions 355 to 896 of the family's 1533-position model. The record is from RNAcentral.